Molecule: long non-coding RNA, 809 nt
Organism: Tachysurus fulvidraco (yellow catfish)
Lineage: Eukaryota; Metazoa; Chordata; Actinopteri; Siluriformes; Bagridae
Exons: 2
Source: RefSeq, a predicted model, not a curated record
CUGAGCAGACGGUGUGUUCUGCCUCCUCACUGCACAUUGGGUUUUUCUUUCUAAUAGAUCGAUAAACUUCUGGCUAAAAAACUUCUGGCUUUUCGUUGGAGCUCCAGGUCUCCGGGUCUCCAUGCCUUCCGCACAUAGACUACAAUCUCAGGUGGUGCGACAGCUAUCACACUGCUACACACUCCGCUGGGAACCUUGGCUGAAAUGAACACCAGAAAUUUCAGUCAUUGUUUCUGGUAGUGGGCGCAGCAGACAUUCGACUUGAACGGCAAAUUUUCCUUCACUCCAUCAUCGCGUCUUGAGGAUUUUUAUUUAUUUAUUUUUAACUGAUUGAAUGUGUAUGUAUAUUUUUUUAGUAUCAUGAUGGUAUUAUUAUCGUUGUUGUUAUUAUUCAAUACUAGCUACAGCUGUCGAAUAAAUAUCAAAGUCGGUCACACUGUGUUUUCUUUAUAGGAGGUUAAUUUCCUGAUUUAAAUCUCAAUAACCUAAACAAGCAUAAGGUUAAUGUUCAGUUCAAUCCAUCUGUCAUAUUAAUAAAACGAGAAAUGUAUAUGACACAAAUAAAGGUUUGAUUUUUUUUAUGAUGUUGAAACUGACCUAAAACUCAGAAUUUAAAAGUUGAAUAAAUCUAUUAAAAUAUUAAAUGUUAGAUAAGUAAGAUUAUAAAAGCAAUUCUUUCAUAUGUAAAUAUAUACACACAGAGAUAUGAAGCUGUAUACACAGGGGGCUGGAGCCGAUUGGCUAGCAGGACGAUGCUUCCUGUUUUCCAAACAAACAAACAAAAAAUAAAUAAAUAGAAUUCUGUUUCA